RNAcentral lists this transfer RNA (74 nucleotides) under Chlorobiota bacterium. Its description in RNAcentral is "tRNA-Pro". It matches the Rfam family "tRNA". From Rfam's summary of the family: Transfer RNA (tRNA) molecules are approximately 80 nucleotides in length. Their secondary structure includes four short double-helical elements and three loops (D, anti-codon, and T loops). The record is from RNAcentral. Lineage: Bacteria; Pseudomonadati; Chlorobiota.
CGGGAUGUAGCGCAGCCCGGUAGCGCGCGUCGUUCGGGACGACGAGGCCGGAGGUUCGAAUCCUCUCAUCCCGA